Molecule: ribosomal RNA, 497 nt
Filed under: uncultured bacterium
Lineage: Bacteria
Description: partial 16S ribosomal RNA
Rfam family: Bacterial small subunit ribosomal RNA
Source: RNAcentral
GAUGAACGCUGGCGGCGUGCCUAAUACAUGCAAGUCGAGCGAACAGACGAGGAGCUUGCUCCUCUGACGUUAGCGGCGGACGGGUGAGUAACACGUGGAUAACCUACCUAUAAGACUGGGAUAACUUCGGGAAACCGGAGCUAAUACCGGAUAAUAUAUUGAACCGCAUGGUUCAAUAGUGAAAGACGGUUUUGCUGUCACUUAUAGAUGGAUCCGCGCCGCAUUAGCUAGUUGGUAAGGUAACGGCUUACCAAGGCAACGAUGCGUAGCCGACCUGAGAGGGUGAUAGGCCACACUGGAACUGAGACACGGUCCAGACUCCUACGGGAGGCAGCAGUAGGGAACCUGCCGCAAUGGGCGAAAGCUUGACGGAGCAACGCCGCGUGAGUGAUGAAGGUCUUCGGAGCGGAAAACUCUGUUAUUAGGGAAGAACAAAUGUGUAAGGAACUAUGCACGGCUUGACGGUACCUAAUCAGAAAGCCACGGCUAACUACGUG